Molecule: ribosomal RNA, 111 nt
Filed under: fish gut metagenome
Source: RNAcentral
GGUGAUAAUGGCAUGGAGGUCCCACCUGUUCCCAUUCCGAACACAGAAGUUAAGCUCCAUAGCGCUAAAAGUACUUGGAUGGAAGCGUCCCGGGAGGAUAGGUCGUCGCCG